UCAAAUCGAAAUCGUUGAGAUCUGUAUUCAUGAUCGUUGGAUGCUUUUCGUCACACACGGCGGCGGAGUUCACUAAGAUGUUGACCGGAGAUUGAAAAGCUGAUUCAGCUGCGUCAAAUAGGGAUUUCACUGAGUCUGGAUCUGAGAUAUCAGCUUUAACGGCGACAGCGACGGCAGAUACGGCGGAAUUAUUCAUGGAUUUAUUAGAAUUGAUUUGAGAAACGACGUCGUCGGCUAGAGUAGUGGAGUUUGAGGAGGAAUAGUUGAUGAUGAGCUUAGCACCGAGAGAAGCUAGAUGAAGUGCAAUCGCUUUUCCGAUGCCGCGAGAAGAUCCGGUAACGAUAGCUACCCGAUUUUCGAGCGGCAAUUUUUGAGCAGGUACGUUUUCGUUUGAUUCCGCCAUGAAUGAAGAAAUUAAAGCUUUGAAAUUACUACUACUAAGGAAAGAUAAAUCAAUCGAACCAAGUCGAUGAUAUAUAAAAAUCGAUCAAACUGAUGAUUAAAACUUCUUUGUUCAUCGGGAAGAUAAUUUAUCCUUUUUCAAUUCAAUUAUUUAAAGAAAUGCAAAUCUUAUGAUUUGUUUAACAAUAUCAUAUGAUUUGAAAUCCCAACAUUACCUUACAACUUGUUUUAAAAUAAUCACAUAUUAUUUAUACAACAUUUUUAUAUUAGUUCUUCCUCUUACUCUAUUUUUAGAAUUUUUUACCAAAAACACUCAUAAACUAUACCCUUAAUUUAAAUUUUUUAAUCAAAUAAUUAAUGAAUUUUACACAAAAAUAUGUGCAGGUCACAUUGCUCUCCAUAAAAAAUUUCCCAUAUAAUUUCAUUAUUGGUUGGAAAAAGCACUCUUAUUUGCUAAAAAGAAAUUAAGUUAGAAUGGUGUUGCAAAGAGACAUGAUAUGCUCUUCUCCUCCUUUACCAACUUAACGAAGUUGAAGCUUAAUUUCACAUCAUUUUCACCUUCUGUAAAGACAAAAUGUAAGUAGAUCAAUAAUUAUUUGGGGCAUUUGAUAUUUGAAGUGAUCAAGAUUCUGAAUUUCAUAUAUGGCACUCGAAUUUUGUUCUCCAUUAUUAAAAGUAAAAGUCUCAGGUGACCACCAUUUCUUGCAGUUUCAAAGAGAAAAAAAAUAUUUCAAUUGGUAAUUUUUUAAUAUCAAAUCAAAUGAAAAAUAAAUUAAAACAAAGUUGCUAAUAAAAGGAUCUGCAUAAUGCCAAGUGUUGUUGCCAAAAAGAAUUCACAAUAUUUUAGAUGUAUCACGGAUCGAAUGAAAAGAUUUUUUAAUCUUUGGUGAUUUAGGGAGUUUUGCCGAGAGUAAUAUAAAUUACACAUAUUUUUGUAGGAAUUCUGUUAAUUUUUUGUCAAAUUUUAACAAAAGGAUGGAAGUUGUUAAAGUUUAAAAUACUUGAAGGAUGUUUUUUUGUUAAGAAGAAUAAUUUAAUGAUGUAAUUUAAGUUAGGAGUAGUUAAAGAAUGUUUUUGGCCAAAAACUCCUACUUUUAUUAUAAGUUUAUCAUUCAAGAUGUAUGACAAUACAAUCUAUUCAAACACUAUAUUUAUUGAAACAAUACAUUGCAAUUUGCAAUACACCACAGUUCACAUUACAAUACAUUAUGAUGACCAUCCAAAUUCCAAAUAAAGUGUGAAAAAAAAAAGCAAUCACAUAUGAUUAAUAAUAUCGUAAAACUCGAAUGAAUACCAAUUCAUGUAAUAAUUUCAAUAAAUUCAAACUUAUUUUAUUUAAAUACUCUUCCUAUGAAAUUAUCUAAAUUUCUCUCUGAUGAUCCUUCAGCUCUUAAUGCAUUAUUCUCUAACGUUUUCUUCACUUCCUUAAUUGCAUUUCUACACUCAUCACUUAAAUUUCCGUACAUAAAAUUGUGUAUUUUCUCUGAAAUUUCAACCUUAGUAAUUGGAUUUUUAUUGCACAAAUUAAGUCCGAUAUUCCAAUCAUCGACUACUAAUUUUCGAUUAGUAAAUUGAUCAGUGAGCAGAGGGAAACAAAACAAUGGAACUUCACACCAAAUGGCUUCCAGGAUUGAGUUCCAGCCACAAUGAAUCAAGAAUCCUCCGAUUGCUGAGUGAGUCACCACUUAUUUUUGACAACACCAAGGUACGACUAAACCACGACCACAAAUUUCUCCUUCAAAAUCUUUAGGUAACGGGUUCGGGUCAUCGGACCUUACAAUAUCGGGUCGGAGCAACCAAAUAAAACUAACUUUACUUAAUGAUAAACCAUAAGCUAUCUCUACAAGGUCAUUUUUGGUAAUAUGGGAAUAGCUACCAAAUGACACGUAUAAAACAGUUGCAUGUUGUUGUAAGUCGAGCCAGUGGGUGCAGUCGGACUCAAACCACAUGCUAGUAGUCACACAGCUCUUGGUGAACUCGGGUGGGAAGAUGGGUCCUAUCGCGUAAAAUGGCUUUUCAAUUUGUAGAGCUGAUAUAAUCUCGUAUUUGAGCUCCUAACAUAAGAUGAAAUCAGUAUUUCUUACAUCAUUAAAUGCAUUGAAAAUAAUUUGAUGACACAUUAGGUUGUGUCUGUUUCUUGAAGAUAUGACAUUAGGAUUAGGUCCUUUGGCUUUAUUGAUUGGACUCCUGGUAUAUAUAGUCAAUAGGAUCUUCACGCAUAUCUGUCAUCUGACCUCAAAUCAAACAAUAAACAUGAGCCAAUAUUAAAAAUAAAUAAACCGAAAAGGGUCAAAAUUACCCUUAAACUAUUCGAAAUAGAUUAAUUAUAUCCUUAAACUAUAUUUCGGCUCAAAAGUGUCCUUCCCGUCUAACUAUUGGACCCUGCUUACUCUUCUGUUUAACGGAAGAGUUAUGUGGCAUCCAUGUGUAUAUUAAAAUGCCACAUAGAUCUCCACAUGUGCACGCCAACACACCCACCUCCAUGUAGAAGCCCUAAUUUCCUUAGAAGAUUUUGUAAUAUAGAUUAUAGAAUAAGAGAUUAAAAUGAACAUAUAGGGAAGCUUACCAAUACAACCAAAGUGGCCAUGUAACAUCAAGAGAUGAAGAUGAUAAUAAAGGGUAAAAACCAAAGCUGGUUCUGUCCAAAAAUAUAGGUAUAAAAGUCCAUAUUUCUUGGUCAAUUUUCCAGGAAACACAAAGAAAGAAUCAGCAAUCAAACAGGUCACUGGAGGAUCUAAUUUUGACUCUUCUAGUUUUCACCAAAGCUUCUUCAACAUGAGCUGAGAACACAUGUAAUAAAGAAGCCAUGAAUUGGUGAUGGUUCAAUGACCUAUCGAAAUUUACUGGUAGCCCAUCAGACACCGUCAUAUAACGUAUAUCUAGUUCUUGAUGACCUUGAACGCUAUAAAAUAUGUCGAUAUUACUAUUCUUUUGAGUGAUCUGAUAGUGUGUGGACUCUGUAUUGAUGAAGGUGAUAGUGAAACCUUUUUGUGCAAGCUUGACUGCUAGAUGGAUUGUGAAAUGGUGCAAAGUCAGUGUAUGCAAGGUAUCAUGAUAUACUUGGGGUAGCUAGAAAUUUCAAUAAAAUAAUAAUAUACUCUGUGUAAUUUCAUAAGUAGAAUUGAAGAAGGAUAGGAGAGAGCAAGAUAAGAAUACGAAGCAUGGUAGCAAGUAAGGGUGUAAUGGACGGGCUGAUUUGGGUUUUUCAAAUAUCAAACCAAACCAUUUAUGUCGGAUUUUUAAAUCUAUAAACUAAAUCAAAUUAAUAAAAUUCGAAUUUUUCAACCUUGGGUUUUUUCUGGUUUUUCCGAUAAGUAUUCAUAAAAACAUAUAAUUAAUUUGUGCUUCAAAUAUUUCUUUUGUCCUACCAAAAUACAACUAUCGAAGGUGUUUAUUAAGAAAAUAACACAAAACAUGAGAUGAGUGAUGACACUAAAUACUGAUCAACAAAAAAUAAUAAUGAAAGUGCAUAAACCAAAUCUUGCAAAUUAAUAAGUUAUAAUGAAAAUGAUCAUAAUUUAAAAGUACUAAAUCAUGCUAAAAUAAGUCUAAUAAGUAUUAAUUACAUCACUAAAUAUUAAAGAAAAACUAAAAUUAGAUUAUGUAUUUUAAUUGUCUAAACUAAUGUAAAACUAAAGAACAAAUAUUCAACAUUAUUAUUGUCAUUCUUAAUGUUGAUCAAACUGAUUUUUUUUGUUAGCAUUAGUAUGAAUUUGAUUUUGAUUUGAGCUUUUUAGAAUUACUAACAUUAUAUGGACUAGAACCUUCAUUGGACCAUUCAAAAUCCUAAGUUUGUAUUUAUAAAUUAUAUCAAAGUAAUAUUUUUAUAUAAUAUAAAAUAAAAUUUUAAAAUUAUGUACAUAGUGUCAGAUUGGUUGGGUCUCGGGUUGAUUUUUUAGUUAAGACCAACCCAAUCCAACCUAAGUAUAGUCGGAUAUUUUUUUUCCCGAUUUGACUCUUUUACAGUUUAAUUUGAUUUUCAAUUCAAUUUUGUACACCCUUAACUACAACAAAAUAUAGUACCAAAAUGUAAAGCAAUUGAAGUAACAUGUAUUCAACAUGUAGCAAAAUACAAAUAGAAGAAAAUGAAUAACACGAUUAGUAAAUAAUACGUACUAUUAAUAAGAAACAGUGUAGAGAAAGCUAUCCCCUGCCUCUCUCACACAAUGAGACAACACUUCGCUAUAUAAUUUUUUUGUGAAAUACUCCCUCCAUUUCAAAAAGAGUGGUCUGAUUUGACUUGGCACGAAGUUUAAGAAAUUAAAGAAGACUAUUGAAUCUUGUGGUCCUAAAUUAAAGUUAUGUCAAAUGUACAAAAUUAUCCUUAAUCUUGUGGUCUUAAACAUGCCACGUGGAAAACAAAAAGUAAAAUGUUACCAAAAAAAAAUCAUUCUUUUUUAAACUGACUAAAAAAAAAAAGAGGUCAUUCUUUGUGAAACGGAGAGAGUAUAAUUUUCCGACAAAGGAUAUUCUAACUUUCUAUCUUUUAGGCUAAUGUGGCUCUGCUGCUACUCCUAAAUUUAUUAAAAUUUCCCUUCUUCCUUUUAUCAUUUGGAUAAUAAUCCUAACAGAAAUGUUGUCACCAAAUGACAUAAUACCCAUAUCAGCUAUACUAUAAGACAUUUUGUUGGUGUGACCAUUUUAAUAUUAUACAAAUUGUUACAUAUUCACAUUGCCAAUGCCACACUAAGUCUUUGCUGAAAUGUAUGACAUUUGUGCCUAAUUACUCAUGGUCAAUUAAUGACCAGAGGCAUAAGGCAUAUUACUUUCUGAACGUUGGCAAUGGAACGUUGGCAUCUGCACGUUAGUGCAUUUGUUGCCCUCAACUUUAUUUCAUUCUUUACUCCUCCAUUAUUUUUGUAACCUAUGUAACUCCUACGACCAUUAUCUUCACUAUUUACUACACCAUUAUCUUCAUAUUCAUUGCUAGGAAGACUUCUUGUACUAUAAAUAGUGGUGGUCUUCAUUUGGUUUGUGACACACAACAUAUAAGAAAAAUAUAGAGUGAAAGAGUUAGUCCCUUCUUAUUAGUUGAAGGGAUGUGUUUUUUUUGUGGAGCUUUGGACUCAACUCUUGUCCAGAGUUGUUGAGUUAUAUUUUGUGAUUAGGCUGUUGUAUCCUGGAGGGGACAAGUCAAGAAGGAUUACCGCUGGACCGGUGAAAAUAUUUGCUGCAAUGGGCUUGAAUCUCAUUAAAGAGAGCGAGAUAUCCGCGCCUCAGCCUGAAGAGAUUUAUUUCUUCAUUUUUAUUUUCAAUUGCAAUUUUGUAUUUUUUUCUUAUCUUGUAAGUUUUUCACUAACAAUUUUAAGGAGAUUCACCAUGAAUACAAUUGAAAAAAACGCGGAUGUCAAGAUGGGAGACCUUAACAAGCCAUUUCGGUUCAAUGGUAACCAUUUUAAGAGAUGGAAGGGUAAAGUACUUUUCUACUUAAGUCUUCUCAAUGUUUCUUAUGUGUUAACUGAGAAGAAUCCUAAUAAAGUAGACAUCACCUCUAUGAACGAUGAUGAAACUAUUUCUCAUCUAGAGAAAGUGGAAAAGUACGAUGGUGAUUCCUAUAAGUGUCGGUAUUAUAUUCUUAAUUGUCUAUCUGAUAAUUUUUAUGAUUAUUAUGAUAGAACUUACUCUAGUGCAAAGAAAAUUUGGAAAGCAUUGCAGUGUAAGUAUGAUACCAAAGAGGCUGGAGCGAAAAAAUAUGCGGCUAGUAGAUUUUUUCGUUUCCAAAUGGUGGACAACAAAUCAGUGGUAGACCAAGCUCAAGACUUUAUAAUGAUUGUUGGAGAGCUUAGAUCCGAGGAGGUUAAAAUUGGAGAUAACCUUAUUGUUUGUGGCAUAGUGGAUAAACUUCCACCUUCUUGGAAGGAAUUUUCAAAAAACUAUGCACCACAAACAAAAGGAAUCCUCUCUUGAAACCUUGAUAAUGAAAAUCCGCAUGGAAGAAGAGGAAAGGGGCCAAGAUGCACUUUUGCAAACAGAAGAGAGCAACAUCACAACGAAUGUAAAUUUAAUUACUUCAAAUAAUGCUACUCCUGAAACUCACAAAAAUACUUCUUUGAAGCCUAAGAAGAAAAAAUUCAAGAAAAAUAAUGGUGGAAAUAUCCAAGCACAAAAUUAGCAAGUUCAAGACAAGGGACCAUGCUUUGUUUGUGGCAAGAGUGGGCAUAUUGCUCGAUUUUGCAGAUUCCGAAAACGUGGUCCUAACCCUCUGGCAAACGUUACCGAAGAACCUUUUGUGGCGGUGAUUACCGACAUAAACAUGGUUGAGAAUGUUGAUGGAUGGUGGGCUGGAUUCUGGUGCAAACCGUCAUGUCUGUUAUGACAAAGACUAGCUUAAGAAAUAUACUCAUUUUGAGGAGCCCAAAACCAUCAUGCUUGGUGAUGCUCACACUACUCAAGUGCUUGGAAAGGGAGAUGUCGAAUUGUGUUUUACUUCUGGAAGGGAAUUAACUUUGAAAGAUGUACUUUAUACUCCUUCUAUGAGGAAAAAUCUGAUGUCUAGUUUUCUUCUUAAUAAAGCAGGCUUUAAACAAAUUAUUGAAUCUGAUCAAUAUGUAAUAGUGAAGAAGGGUAUUUUUGUGGGAAAGGGGUAUGCAUGUGAUGGGAUGUUCAAAUUGAAUGUUGAAAUGAAUAAAACUUCUACUUCUGUUUACAUGCUUUCUUCUACCAAUUUUUGGUCAUGCUCGUUUGUGUCAUAUUAAUGACCGUUAUGUUGGAAUCAUGAGUAGUUUAGGAUUAAUUCCAAUGAUUAAAAAGAAUUUUGAAAAGUGUGAGGCUUGUAGUAAAGCCAAGAUCACUAAAAGGCCUCAUUUUCAAGUUGAAAGAAAACUAAUUUGUUAGAAAUAGUUCAUACUGAUAUUUGUGAACUUGGUGGAAUUUUAACUCGUGGAGGUAAUAGAUAUUUUAUCACUUUCAUUGAUGAUUUUUUCUAAGUUUACAUAUGUUUACUUGAUGAAAAAUAAAAGUGAUGCUUUUGAAAAUUUCAAAACUUAUCUCCAUGAAGUUAAAAAUCAGUUUGGAAGAAAAAUAAAAGAAUUAGAAGUGAUAGAGGCCGUGAAUAUGAGUCAAAUGAGUUUAAUUCUUUUGUUAGAUCAUUGAGAAUAAUUCAUGAAACUACUCCUCCUUACUCUCCUUCAUCUAAUGGAGUAGCGGAAAGGAAAAAUAGAACUUUGGUUGAAUUGACUAAUGCCAUGCUUAUUGAGUCACAUGCACCUUUAAAUUUUUGGGGUGAAGCUAUUUUAACUGCUUGUUAUGUGUUGAAUCGUGUGCCUAAAAAAAAAGUCUAAACUGACACCUUUUGAAUUGUGGAAAGGUUACAAGCCAAGUUUGGGAUAUCUAAGAGUUUGGGGUUGUCUAGCCUUUGUGAGGCUAAUGGAUCCCAAAAUUACAAAGUUGGGUAAGAAAGUUACUACUUGUGCUUUUCUUGGUUAUGCUUCAAAUAGUACAGCCCAUAGAUUUUUUAAUCUUGAAGAUAAAAUUGUGAUAGAAUCGGGUGAUGCUAUUUUUCAUGAGAAUAAAUUUCCUUUUGAUUCUAAAAAUAGUGGGGGUCAAAAGAUUGAACAAAAUAUUUUGUCACUACCUAGUUCUUCUACUUCUACUUUAAAAAAAUAAAGAAAUUGAUGAUUUUGAGUUAAGAAGAAGCAAAAGAGCUAGAGUAGAAAAAGAUUUUGGUCCUGAUUUUUAUGUGUUUAAUGUUGGAGAUGACCCUCUCACUUUGAAAGAAACAUUAUCUUCACAUGAUUCUAUAUUUUGGAAAGAGGCUGUAAAUGAUGAAAUGGAAUCACUAAUUUCUAAUAAAACUUGGAAACUAGUUGAUUUACCACCGGGUUGUAAAAUUAUUGGUUGUAUAUGGAUCAACCCGAGUCUUUUGUUGAAGCAGGUCAAGCAAGCAAAGUAUGUAAACUUACUAAAUCCCUAUAUGGCUUGAAACAGGCACCUAAGCAAUGGCAUGAAAAGCUUGAUUCUUGCAUGAUUGAAAAUGGUUUUAAAACAAAUGAGUGUGAUAAGUGCAUAUAUCAUAAGUCUUGGAAUAAUUCACAUGUGAUUAUUUAUCUUAUAUGUUGANNNNNNNNNNNNNNNNNNNNNNNNNNNNNNNNNNNNNNNNNNNNNNNNNNNNNNNNNNNNNNNNNNNNNNNNNNNNNNNNNNNNNNNNNNNNNNNNNNNNNNNNNNNNAAUAUUCUUAGAAGUCAUUUUGAUAUGAAAGAUCUUGGUGAGGCAAAUUUUAUUCUUGGAAUAAAAAUAACAAGAACAUGUGAUGGAAUUUUCCUUGACCAGUCACAUUAUGUUGAGAAAAUAUUGAAAAAAUAUAAUUUUCUUGAUUGCAAGCAUGUUGCAACUCCUUUUGAUUCAAGUGUUCACUUAUUUCCUGUUGAAAGUGAAAAUGAUGUAAUAAAUCAAAAGGAAUAUGCUAACAUAAUCGGAAGUCUGAGAUAUGUGACUGAUUGUACUAGGCCUAAUAUUGCAUAUGCAUACUGAGUACUUGGCAGGUUUACAAGCAAGCCAGGUAAUGAACAUUGGCAUGCUAUAACAAAAGUGAUGAGAUAUUUAAUUGGAACAAAAAUUGUGGUUUGUUCUAUAAAAAUAUCCUGUUGUACUUGAAGGCUUUUGUGAUGCAGAUUGGAACACUUUAUCAGGUGAUUCCUGUUCUACCACUGGUUAUGUCUUUACUUUAGAUGAUGGUGCUGUUUGUUGGAGAUCAAAAAAGCAAACUAUUAUUGCUAACUCUACCAUGGAGGCUGAACUAAUUGCUUUAGCUUCAGCUAGUGAGGAACCGAAUUAGUUAAGAGAUUUGUUAUUUCAAAUACCUUAUUUUGAAAAACCAAUUCCUCCUAUUUUAAUUCAUUGUGAUAACACUGCUGCAAUUGGUAGAGUUCAAAACCGUUAUUACAACGGUAAAUCCAGACCUAUAAGGAGGAAACACAGUAAUAUAAGAUCAUAUUUGACAAGUGGUACCAUUAAUGUUGAUUAUGUCAAAUCUUGUGAUAAUCUUGCAAAUCUUUUAACUAAGGCCUUAACAAGAGAAAAGGUCUGGAGCACAUCGAGGGGAGUGGGAUUGAAGCCAGUGGCGGAGGGAGGAUUUUCAUCAAGGGGGUUCAAAAAAAAUUAAUCAUGUAAAUAAUAUCCACAAAUAAACGGAUCGGAUUAAACUGCCAAAUCAAGAAGAAAAGGGGUUUUUAAUAUUUGACUUUAUAAUUAGGGAUUAAACUAAUAAAUCCUAAAUUCCCAACCCUUCAUAUGAUGUAAGUGCAUUGUUUCCUGUAGUUUGUGAAGGUUGAGUUGAUAAAACUCUUAAUGAAUAUUUGUAGCCCGUAUGGGUGGAGUGUUAAGCUUACAGGAGCACUCUCGACAGAUUUCACACUUGUGAUGUGUGGAAGUAGGUCGCUUCCUAUGAGAAUUGGGCUUAUUCUCAAAAGCACUCAUGAAAUCGGGAUAGCACAUGGCCAUAACGUGCUGGCUUUAAAGCUCAUGUCUAACACCUUUGAUUAUUAUGUGUGGACAGUGAUAUUUAUUUUCCUCAAGCAGUCAUAGUUCAAGUCUGAGACCACUACGACUCUGGAGUAAAAGUUACUGUUUCACUAAGUGGAGGUUCAAUACAGAGCACACCUUCAUUAUGCAUGGUAGUCUCCUUCAGCUGAUAUACUCUCUUGUCUAAUAUUUAAAUGAGUGGGGAUUGUUGGUGUGACCAUUUUAAUAUUAUACAAAUUGUUACAUAUUCACAUUGCCAAUGCCACACUAAGUCUUUGCUGAAAUGUAUGACAUUUGUGCCUAAUUACUCAUGGUCAAUUAAUGACCAGAGGCAUAAGGCAUAUUGCUUUCUGAACGUUGGCAAUGGAACGUUGGCAUUUGCACGUUAGUGCAUUUGUUGCCCUCAACUUUAUUUCAUUAUUUACUCCUCCAUUAAUCUUGUAACCUAUGUAACUCCUAAGACCAUUAUCUUCACUAUUUACUACACCAUUAUCUUCCUAUUCAUUGCUAGGAAGACUUCUUGUACUAUAAAUAGUGGUGGUCUUCAUUUGGUUUGUGACACACAACAUAUAAGAUAAAUAUAGAGUGAAAGAGUUAGUCUCUUCUUAUUAGUUGAAGGGAAGUGUUUUUUUUGUGGAGCUUUGGACUCAACUCUUGUCCAGAGUUAUUGAGUUAUAUUUUGUGAUUAGGUUGUUGUAUCCUGGAGGGGACAAGUCAAGAAGGAUUACUGCUGGACCGGUGAAAACAUUUGCUGCAAUGGGCUUGAAUCUCAUUAAAGAGAGCGAGA
Molecule: long non-coding RNA, 10648 nt
Filed under: Solanum tuberosum (potato)
Lineage: Eukaryota; Viridiplantae; Streptophyta; Magnoliopsida; Solanales; Solanaceae
Description: long non-coding RNA (STUB_LNC007881)
Source: RNAcentral